GAUGAACGCUGGCGGCGUGCCUAAUACAUGCAAGUCGAGCGAACGGACGAGAAGCUUGCUUCUCUGAUGUUAGCGGCGGACGGGUGAGUAACACGUGGAUAACCUACCUAUAAGACUGGGAUAACUUCGGGAAACCGGAGCUAAUACCGGAUGAUAUUUUGAACCGCAUGGUUCAAAAGUGAAAGACGGUCUUGCUGGCACUUAUAGAUGGAUCCGCGCUGCAUUAGCUAGUUGGUAAGGUAACGGCUUACCAAGGCAACGAUGCAUAGCCGACCUGAGAGGGUGAUCGGCCACCCUGGAACGGAGACACGGUCCAGACUCCUACGGGAGGCACCAGUAGGGAAUCUUCCGCAAUGGGCGAAAGCCUGACGGAGCAACGCCGCGUGAGUGAUGAAGGUCUUCGGAUCGUAAAACUCUGUUAUUAGGGAAGAACAUAUGUGUAAGUAACUGUGCACAUCUUGACGGUACCUAAUCAGAAAGCCACGGCUAACUACGUG
Molecule: ribosomal RNA, 497 nt
Filed under: uncultured bacterium
Lineage: Bacteria
Description: partial 16S ribosomal RNA
Rfam family: Bacterial small subunit ribosomal RNA
Source: RNAcentral